CUACGUGCCAGCAGCCGCGGUAAUACGGAAGGUCCAGGCGUUAUCCGGAUUUAUUGGGUUUAAAGGGAGCGUAGGCGGAUUAUUAAGUCAGUGGUGAAAGACGGUGGCUCAACCAUACAUUGCCGUUGAAACUGGCGAUCUUGAGUGCAGACAGGGAUGCCGGAAUUCGUGGUGUAGCGGUGAAAUGCUUAGAUAUCACGAAGAACUCCGAUCGCGAAGGCAGGUGUCCGGGCUGCAACUGACGCUGAGGCUCGAAAGUGUGGGUAUCAAACAGGAUUAGAUACCCUGGUAGUCCACACAGUAAACGAUGUAUACUCGCGGUUUGCGAUAGACAGUAAGCCGCCAAGCGAAAGCAUUAAGUAUACCACCUGGGGAGUACGCCGGCAACGGUGAAACUCAAAGGAAUUGACGGGGGCCCGCACAAGCGGAGGAACAUGUGGUUUAAUUCGAUGAUACGCGAGGAACCUUACCCGGGCUUGAAC
RNAcentral lists this ribosomal RNA (482 nucleotides) under uncultured bacterium. RNAcentral's name for it is "bacterial SSU rRNA". It matches the Rfam family "Bacterial small subunit ribosomal RNA", at positions 501 to 986 of the family's 1533-position model. The record is from RNAcentral.